CUGGAGGUAUCAGAAGUGCGAAUGCUGACAUAAGUAACGAUAAAGCGGGUGAAAAGCCCGCUCGCCGGAAGACCAAGGGUUCCUGUCCAACGUUAAUCGGGGCAGGGUGAGUCGACCCCUAAGGCGAGGCCGAAAGGCGUAGUCGAUGGGAAACGGGUUAAUAUUCCCGUACUUGGUGUUACUGCGAAGGGGGGACGGAGAAGGCUAUGUUGGCCGGGCGACGGUUGUCCCGGUUUAAGCGUGUAGGUGUGUGUUCCAGGUAAAUCCGGUUCACUUUAACACUGAGGCGUGACGACGAGGCACUACGGUGCUGAAGCAACAAAUGCCCUGCUUCCAGGAAAAGCCUCUAAGCAUCAGGUAACAUCAAAUCGUACCCCAAACCGACACAGGUGGUCAGGUAGAGAAUACCAAGGCGCUUGAGAGAACUCGGGUGAAGGAACUAGGCAAAAUGGUGCCGUAACUUCGGGAGAAGGCACGCUGACAUGUAGGUGAAGUGAUUUACUCAUGGAGCUGAAGUCAGUCGAAGAUACCAGCUGGCUGCAACUGUUUAUUAAAAACACAGCACUGUGCAAACACGAAAGUGGACGUAUACGGUGUGACGCCUGCCCGGUGCCGGAAGGUUAAUUGAUGGGGUCAGCGCAAGCGAAGCUCCUGAUCGAAGCCCCGGUAAACGGCGGCCGUAACUAUAACGGUCCUAAGGUAGCGAAAUUCCUUGUCGGGUAAGUUCCGACCUGCACGAAUGGCGUAAUGAUGGCCAGGCUGUCUCCACCCGAGACUCAGUGAAAUUGAACUCGCUGUGAAGAUGCAGUGUACCCGCGGCAAGACGGAAAGACCCCGUGAACCUUUACUAUAGCUUGACACUGAACAUUGAGCCUUGAUGUGUAGGAUAGGUGGGAGGCUUUGAAGUGUGG
RNAcentral lists this ribosomal RNA (911 nucleotides) under Salmonella enterica. Its description in RNAcentral is "partial 23S ribosomal RNA". It matches the Rfam family "Bacterial large subunit ribosomal RNA", at positions 1273 to 2167 of the family's 2925-position model. Lineage: Bacteria; Pseudomonadati; Pseudomonadota; Gammaproteobacteria; Enterobacterales; Enterobacteriaceae. The record is from RNAcentral. RNAcentral also lists the same sequence under 3 other names.